This 938-nucleotide ribosomal RNA is filed under the name uncultured bacterium. RNAcentral's name for it is "bacterial SSU rRNA". It matches the Rfam family "Bacterial small subunit ribosomal RNA", at positions 8 to 916 of the family's 1533-position model. The record is from RNAcentral.
AGAGUUUGAUCAUGGCUCAGGACGACGCUGCGGCGUGCCUAAUACAUGCAAGUCGAGCGAGCGGAACACAGAUUUACUUCGGUAAUGACGUUGGGAAAGCGAGCGGCGGAUGGGUGAGUAACACGUGGGGAACCUGCCCCUAAGUCUGGGAUACCAUUUGGAAACAGGUGCUAAUACCGGAUAAUAAAGCAGAUCGCAUGAUCAGCUUUUGAAAGGCGGCGUAAGCUGUCGCUAAGGGAUGGCCCCGCGGUGCAUUAGCUAGUUGGUAAGGUAACGGCUUACCAAGGCGACGAUGCAUAGCCGAGUUGAGAGACUGAUCGGCCACAUUGGGACUGAGACACGGCCCAAACUCCUACGGGAGGCAGCAGUAGGGAAUCUUCCACAAUGGACGCAAGUCUGAUGGAGCAACGCCGCGUGAGUGAAGAAGGUUUUCGGAUCGUAAAGCUCUGUUGCUGGUGAAGAAGGAUAGAGGUAGUAACUGGCCUUUAUUUGACGGUAAUCAACCAGAAAGUCACGGCUAACUACGUGCCAGCAGCCGCGGUAAUACGUAGGUGGCAAGCGUUGUCCGGAUUUAUUGGGCGUAAAGCGAGCGCAGGCGGAAAAAUAAGUCUAAUGUGAAAGCCCUCGGCUUAACCGAGGAACUGCAUCGGAAACUGUUUUUCUUGAGUGCAGAAGAGGAGAGUGGAACUCCAUGUGUAGCGGUGGAAUGCGUAGAUAUAUGGAAGAACACCAGUGGCGAAGGCGGCUCUCUGGUCUGCAACUGACGCUGAGGCUCGAAAGCAUGGGUAGCGAACAGGAUUAGAUACCCUGGUAGUCCAUGCCGUAAACGAUGAGUGCUAAGUGUUGGGAGGUUUCCGCCUCUCAGUGCUGCAGCUAACGCAUUAAGCACUCCGCCUGGGGAGUACGACCGCAAGGUUGAAACUCAAAGGAAUUGACGG